CCUACGGGAGGCAGCAGUGGGGAAUAUUGGACAAUGGGCGAAAGCCUGAUCCAGCCAUGCCGCGUGUGUGAAGAAGGCCUUCGGGUUGUAAAGCACUUUCAGUGGGGAAGAAAGCCUUGGGGCUAAUACCCUCGAGGAAGGACAUCACCCACAGAAGAAGCACCGGCUAACUCCGUGCCAGCAGCCGCGGUAAUACGGAGGGUGCGAGCGUUAAUCGGAAUUACUGGGCGUAAAGCGCGCGUAGGCGGUCUGAUAAGCCGGGUGUGAAAGCCCCGGGCUCAACCUGGGAACGGCAUCCGGAACUGUCAGGCUAGAGUGCAGGAGAGGAAGGUAGAAUUCCCGGUGUAGCGGUGAAAUGCGUAGAGAUCAGGAGGAAUACCAGUGGCGAAGGCGGCCUUCUGGACUGACACUGACGCUGAGGUGCGAAAGCGUGGGUAGCAAACAGGAUUAGAUACCCGAGUAGUC
Molecule: ribosomal RNA, 465 nt
Filed under: Vreelandella stevensii
Lineage: Bacteria; Pseudomonadati; Pseudomonadota; Gammaproteobacteria; Oceanospirillales; Halomonadaceae
Description: partial 16S ribosomal RNA
Rfam family: Bacterial small subunit ribosomal RNA
Source: RNAcentral